Molecule: ribosomal RNA, 253 nt
Filed under: uncultured bacterium
Lineage: Bacteria
Description: partial 16S ribosomal RNA
Rfam family: Bacterial small subunit ribosomal RNA
Source: RNAcentral
UACGUAGGUGGCAAGCGUUGUCCGGAAUUAUUGGGCGUAAAGCGCGCGCAGGCGGUCCUUUAAGUCUGAUGUGAAAGCCCUCGGCUCAACCGAGGAGGGUCAUUGGAAACUGGAGGACUUGAGUGCAGAAGAGGAAAGUGGAAUUCCAAGUGUAGCGGUGAAAUGCGUAGAGAUCGGGAGGAACACCGGUGGCGAAGGCGGGUCUCUGGGCAAUUCCUGACGCUGAGGCGCGAAAGCGUGGGGAGCAAACGGG